RNAcentral lists this ribosomal RNA (903 nucleotides) under uncultured Bacillota bacterium. RNAcentral describes it as "bacterial SSU rRNA". It matches the Rfam family "Bacterial small subunit ribosomal RNA", at positions 1 to 917 of the family's 1533-position model. Lineage: Bacteria; Bacillati; Bacillota. The record is from RNAcentral.
UGGAUCCAGACUUUGAUUCUGGCUCAGGACGAACGCUGGCGGCGCGCCUAACACAUGCAAGUCGAACGAGAGAUGAGGAGCUUGCUCUUCAAAUCGAGUGGCGAACGGGUGAGUAACGCGUGAGGAACCUGCCUCAAAGAGGGGGACAACAGUUGGAAACGACUGCUAAUACCGCAUAAGCCCACGGCUCGGCAUCGAGCAGAGGGAAAAGGAGCAAUCCGCUUUGAGAUGGCCUCGCGUCCGAUUAGCUGGUUGGUGAGGUAACGGCCCACCAAGGCGACGAUCGGUAGCCGGACUGAGAGGUUGAACGGCCACAUUGGGACUGAGACACGGCCCAGACUCCUACGGGAGGCAGCAGUGGGGAAUAUUGCACAAUGGGGGAAACCCUGAUGCAGCGACGCCGCGUGGAGGAAGAAGGUCUUCGGAUUGUAAACUCCUGUUGUUGAGGAAGAUAAUGACGGUACUCAACAAGGAAGUGACGGCUAACUACGUGCCAGCAGCCGCGGUAAAACGUAGGUCACAAGCGUUGUCCGGAAUUACUGGGUGUAAAGGGAGCGCAGGCGGGAGAACAAGUUGGAAGUGAAAUCCAUGGGCUCAACCCAUGAACUGCUUUCAAAACUGUUUUUCUUGAGUAGUGCAGAGGUAGGCGGAAUUCCCGGUGUAGCGGUGGAAUGCGUAGAUAUCGGGAGGAACACCAGUGGCGAAGGCGGCCUACUGGGCACCAACUGACGCUGAGGCUCGAAAGUGUGGGUAGCAAACAGGAUUAGAUACCCUGGUAGUCCACACCGUAAACGAUGAUUACUAGGUGUUGGAGGAUUGACCCCUUCAGUGCCGCAGUUAACACAAUAAGUAAUCCACCUGGGGAGUACGACCGCAAGGUUGCAACUCAAAGGAAUUGACGGA